UGAGGAAUAUUGGUCAAUGGGCGGGAGCCUGAACCAGCCAAGCCGCGUGAGGGAGGAAGGCCCUGUGGGUCGUAAACCUCUUUUGUCAGGGAACAAAAGCGAGUAUGUAUACUAGUCUGAGUGUACCUGAAGAAAAAGGCAUCGGCUAACUCCGUGCCAGCAGCCGCGGUAAUACGGAGGAUGCGAGCGUUAUCCGGAUUUAUUGGGUUUAAAGGGUGCGUAGGCGGCGGUGCAAGUCAGCGGUAAAAGCCCGGGGCUCAACCCCGGCGAGCCGUUGAAACUGCAGUGCUAGAGAAGGCGAGAGGUACGCGGAAUGCGCAGUGUAGCGGUGAAAUGCUUAGAUAUUGCGCAGAACUCCGAUUGCGAAGGCAGCGUACUGGCGCCUGACUGACGCUGAGGCACGAAAGCGUGGGGAUCGAACAGGAUUAGAUACC
Molecule: ribosomal RNA, 434 nt
Filed under: uncultured bacterium
Lineage: Bacteria
Description: bacterial SSU rRNA
Rfam family: Bacterial small subunit ribosomal RNA
Source: RNAcentral